RNAcentral lists this small RNA (148 nucleotides) under Macaca fascicularis (crab-eating macaque). Its description in RNAcentral is "Metazoan signal recognition particle RNA (ENSMFAG00000052553.1)". Lineage: Eukaryota; Metazoa; Chordata; Mammalia; Primates; Cercopithecidae. The record is from Rfam by way of RNAcentral.
GCCAGGCAUGGUGGUGCAUGCCUGUAGUCUCAGCUACUCAGGAGGCUGAGGCAGAAGAAUCACUUGAAUCCAGGAGGCAGAGGCUGCAGUGAGCUGAGAUCAUACCACUGCACUCCAGCCUGGGUGACAGAGUGAGAAUCUGUCUCAA